RNAcentral lists this ribosomal RNA (459 nucleotides) under uncultured bacterium. RNAcentral describes it as "partial 16S ribosomal RNA". It matches the Rfam family "Bacterial small subunit ribosomal RNA", at positions 338 to 795 of the family's 1533-position model. The record is from RNAcentral.
CCUACGGGAGGCAGCAGUGAGGAAUCUUGGUCAAUGGCCGUAAGGCUGAACCAGCCAAGUAGCGUGAGGGAAGACUGCCCUAUGGGUUGUAAACCUCUUUUAUGCGGGGAUAAAGGUGUCCACGUGUGGAUGUUUGCAGGUACCGCAUGAAUAAGGACCGGCUAAUUCCGUGCCAGCAGCCGCGGUAAUACGGAGGGUCCGGGCGUUAUCCGGAUUUAUUGGGUUUAAAGGGAGCGUAGAGGGGUUGUUAAGUCAGUUGUGAAAGUUUGCGGCUCAACCCCGGCCUGCCGUCGGAACUGGGGGCCUUGAGUGGGCGAGAGGUAUGUGGAAUGCGUGGUGUAGCGGUGAAAUGCAUAGAUAUCACGCAGAACCCCGAUUGCGAAGGCAGCAUACCGGCGCCCUACUGACGCUGAGGCACGAAAGUGCGGGUAUCGAACAGGAUUAGAUACCCUGGUAGUC